This 405-nucleotide ribosomal RNA is filed under the name uncultured bacterium. RNAcentral's name for it is "partial 16S ribosomal RNA". It matches the Rfam family "Bacterial small subunit ribosomal RNA", at positions 28 to 526 of the family's 1533-position model. The record is from RNAcentral.
GAUGAACGCUGGCGGCGUGCCUAAUACAUGCAAGUCGAGCGAAGCGGGGACGGGGGAGUAACACGUGGAUAACCUCCUAUAAGACUGGGAUAACUUAGGGAAACCGGAGCUAAACCGGAUACUUAGAGAUGGAUCAGGGCUGCAUUAGCUGGUUGGUAGGGUAACGGCUUACCAAGGCAACGAUGCAUAGCCGACCGGCGAGGGUGAUCGGCCCCACUGGACCUGAGCCACGGUCCCGACUCCUACGGGAGGCAGCAGUAGGGAAUCUUCCGCAAUGGGCGCAAGCCUUACGGAGCAACGCCGCGUGAGUGAUGAAGGUCUUCGGGUCGUAAAACUCUGUUAUUAGGGAAGCGGUACCUAAUCAGAAAGCCCCGGCUAACUACGUGCCAGCAGCCGCGGUAAUUC